Molecule: transfer RNA, 72 nt
Filed under: Apaloderma vittatum (bar-tailed trogon)
Lineage: Eukaryota; Metazoa; Chordata; Aves; Trogoniformes; Trogonidae
Rfam family: tRNA
About the family: Transfer RNA (tRNA) molecules are approximately 80 nucleotides in length. Their secondary structure includes four short double-helical elements and three loops (D, anti-codon, and T loops).
Source: Rfam by way of RNAcentral
GUCUGGUUAGCUCAGUCAGUUGAGCGUAGCACUAACAACGCUAAGGUUGCGGGUUCGAUUCCCGUCCGGUCC